This 247-nucleotide ribosomal RNA is filed under the name uncultured bacterium. RNAcentral describes it as "partial small subunit ribosomal RNA". It matches the Rfam family "Bacterial small subunit ribosomal RNA", at positions 26 to 285 of the family's 1533-position model. The record is from RNAcentral.
AGAAUCAACGCUGGCGGCGUGCCUAACACAUGCAAGUCGAACGAGAAUGGGGUAGCAAUACCCCUAGUAAAGUGGCGCACGGGUGAGUAACACGUGACUAACCUACCCUGGAGUGGGGGAUAACUGGGAGAAAUCCUAGCUAAUACCGCAUAACACCUACGGGUCAAAGGAGCAAUUCGCUUCAGGAGGGGGUCGCGGCCGAUUAGUUAGUUGGCGGGGUAAUGGCCCACCAAGACGAUGAUCGGUA